Molecule: transfer RNA, 83 nt
Filed under: Spiroplasma citri
Lineage: Bacteria; Bacillati; Mycoplasmatota; Mollicutes; Entomoplasmatales; Spiroplasmataceae
Description: tRNA-Tyr
Rfam family: tRNA
About the family: Transfer RNA (tRNA) molecules are approximately 80 nucleotides in length. Their secondary structure includes four short double-helical elements and three loops (D, anti-codon, and T loops).
Source: RNAcentral
GGAGGGGUAGUGAAGUGGCCAAACACAUCUGACUGUAACUCAGCUCCUUCGGGUUCGGGGUUCGAAUCCCUCCCCCUCCACCA